RNAcentral lists this small RNA (4159 nucleotides) under uncultured Chroococcidiopsis sp. RNAcentral describes it as "bacterial LSU rRNA". The stretch from base 1628 to 4159 matches the Rfam family "Bacterial large subunit ribosomal RNA", at positions 1 to 2552 of the family's 2925-position model. Lineage: Bacteria; Bacillati; Cyanobacteriota; Cyanophyceae; Chroococcidiopsidales; Chroococcidiopsidaceae. The record is from RNAcentral.
CGAAAGCCUGACGGAGCAAUACCGCGUGAGGGAGGAAGGCUCUAGGGUUGUAAACCUCUUUUCUCAGGGAAGAACAAAAUGACGGUACCUGAGGAAUAAGCAUCGGCUAACUCCGUGCCAGCAGCCGCGGUAAUACGGAGGAUGCCCAAGUUCGCGGUUAUCCGGAUUUAUUGGGCGUAAAGCGUCCGCAGGUGGCAGUUCAAGUCUGCUGUCAAAGGUCGGGGCUCAACCCCGAACAGGCAGUGGAAACUGAACAGCUAGAGUACGGUAGGGGCAGAGGGAAUUCCCAGUGUAGCGGUGAAAUGCGUAGAGAUUGGGAAGAACACCGGUGGCGAAAGCGCUCUGCUAGGCCGAAACUGACACUCAUGGACGAAAGCUAGGGGAGCGAAUGGGAUUAGAUACCCCAGUAGUCCUAGCCGUAAACGAUGGAUACUAGGCGUUGUGAGUAUCGACCCUCACAGUGUCGUAGCUAACGCGUUAAGUAUCCCGCCUGGGGACGCUACGGGCGCAAGCGUGAAACUCAAAGGAAUUGACGGGGGCCCGCACAAGCGGUGGAGUAUGUGGUUUAAUUCGAUGCAACGCGAAGAACCUUACCAGGACUUGACAUGUCGCGAAUUUCAGGGAAACUUGAGAGUGCCUUCGGGAGCGCGAACACAGGUGGUGCAUGGCUGUCGUCAGCUCGUGUCGUGAGAUGUUGGGUUAAGUCCCGCAACGAGCGCAACCCUCGUUUUUGAGCUCGAUGCCAGCAUUAAGUUGGGCACUCUAGAGAGACUGCCGGUGACAAACCGGAGGAAGGUGGGGAUGACGUCAAGUCAGCAUGCCCCUUACGUCCUGGGCUACACACGUACUACAAUGCUACGGACAAAGGGCAGCAAGUUAGCGAUGACAAGCAAAUCCCAUAAACCGUGGCUCAGUUCAGAUUGCAGGCUGCAACUCGCCUGCAUGAAGGUGGAAUCGCUAGUAAUCGCAGGUCAGCAAUACUGCGGUGAAUACGUUCCCGGGCCUUGUACACACCGCCCGUCACACCAUGGAAGCUGGCUUAGCCCGAAGUCGUUACCCUAACCCGCAAGGGAGGGGGAUGCCGAAGGCAGGGCUGGUGACUGGGGUGAAGUCGUAACAAGGUAGCCGUACCGGAAGGUGUGGCUGGAUCACCUCCUUUUAAGGGAGACCGAACCAAUCUGGAACCGAGAAAUACUAAAUAGGUACAGAUUAGGUCAUUCCUAGGUCGAGCGAAGAAAUAGAGUGUGGCUUUCAAACUAUGAGUGGUUUAGGUAAUUGGGGCUAUUAGCUCAGGUGGUUAGAGCGCACCCCUGAUAAGGGUGAGGUCCCUGGUUCGAGUCCAGGAUGGCCCACCUAAAAAGUGGGGGUAUAGCUCAGUUGGUAGAGCGCUGCCUUUGCAAGGCAGAUGUCAGCGGUUCGAGUCCGCUUACCUCCACCUUAGAAGUUGUAAAAGUGAUAAAAUAAACAAAGACGGAAAAUUCAGCACCAUGAAGUGGCAAUGGCGCUUUAGGAUGCUGGAGUUUAUUCCAGUGCAUCGAACCUUGAAAACUGCAUAGUAACGCGUGGAACUAGACGGUGUGGAAUGUCGGUUAAGGCAUUUGAACUCGUCUAACGAACCAAAGAAAGUGGUCAAGCUAAUUAGGGCUUACGGUGGAUACCUAGGCACACAGAGGCGAAGAAGGACGUGGCGACCGACGAAACACUCCGGGGAGCUGGAAGCAAGCAUUGAGCCGGAGAUAUCCGAAUGGGGCAACCCCAAGUACAGUCUGUUGAAUACAUAGGCAGGCAUGAGCCAACCCAGCGAACUGAAACAUCUUAGUAGCUGGAGGAAGAGAAAGAAAAAUCGAUUCCCUUAGUAGCGGCGAGCGAAGCGGGAAGAGCCUAAACCAGUUGUUUUUACAACUGGGGUUGUGGGACAGCAUCAUGGAAUACCUGAAGCUAGACGAAGCAGUAGGGAUACUGCACCAGAGAAGGUGAAAGUCCUGUAGUCGAAAGUGGAAGGAUACUAGCUGAAUCCCGAGUAGCACGGGGCACGUGGAAUCCCGUGUGAAUCCGCGAGAACCAUCUCGUUAAGGCUAAAUACUACUGUGUGACCGAUUUUGACCCAUUGCCCGCUGAGGGAAAGGUGAAAAGAACCCCGGAAGGGGAGUGAAAUAGAACAUGAAACCGUAAGCCAUCAAGCAGUGGAAGGACGAUUCAACGUCUGACCGCGUGCCUGUUGAAGAAUGAGCCGGCGACUUAUAGGCAGUGGCAGGUUAAAGCAUGAUGUGCUGAAGCCAAAGCGAAAGCGAGUCUGAAUAGGGCGAUUAAGUCACUGUUUAUAGACCCGAACCCGGGUGAUCUAACCAUGUCCAGGAUGAAGCUUGGGUAACACCAAGUGGAGGUCCGAACCGACCGAUGUUGAAAAAUCGGCGGAUGAGGUGUGGUUAGGGGUGAAAUGCCAAUCGAACCCGGAGCUAGCUGGUUCUCCCCGAAAUGUUGUUUAGGCGCAGCGGUUGAGGUAAUAAUCUGGGGGUAAAGCACUGUUUCGGUGCGGGCUGCGAGAGCGGUACCAAAUCGAGACAAACUCUGAAUACCAGAUGCAUACUCAACCAGUGAGACGGUGGGGGAUAAGCUUCAUCGUCAAGAGGGAAACAGCCCAGACCACCAGCUAAGGCCCCCAAAUUGUCACUAAGUGAUAAAGGAGGUGGGAGUGCAAAGACAACCAGGAGGUUUGCCUAGAAGCAGCCAUCCUUAAAAGAGUGCGUAAUAGCUCACUGGUCAAGCGCUCCUGCGCCGAAAAUGAACGGGGCUAAGUGACAUGCCGAAGCUGUGGGAUAAGAAAUUAUCGGUAGGGGAGCGUUCCGCCAUAGAGUGAAGCACUAGCGGCAAGCAGGUGUGGAGGAAGCGGCAAGUGAGAAUGUCGGCUUGAGUAGCGCAAACAUUGGUGAGAAUCCAAUGCCCCGAAACCCUAAGGGUUCCUCCGGCAGGUUCGUCCGCGGAGGGUUAGUCAGGUCCUAAGGUGAGGCCAAACGGCGUAGUCGAUGGACAACGGGUUAACAUUCCCGUACUGAAGCUGAAUUGUGUAGAGGGACGGAGAAGGCAAGUGCCAGCCAGGUAUUGGUUGUCCUGGUUCAACUAGCUGAGGUGAUGAGAGGCGGUGAAAACGCCUUGAGCUAAGGCAGGAGUACGAGUCCCUACGGGGAUGAAGUGGUAUAGUCUAGCUUCCAAGAAAAGCUCUAAACACGCUAAUUCAGUUUUACCUGUACCCGAAACCGACACAGGUAGGGAGGUUGAGAAUACCGGGAAGGGACGCGCGCGAUAACUCUCUCUAAGGAACUCGGCAAAAUGGCCCCGUAACUUCGGAAGAAGGGGUGCCCACCUGAGACGUGGGUCGCAGUGAAGAGAUCCAGGCGACUGUUUACCAAAAACACAGGUCUCCGCAAAGUCGAAUGACGACGUAUGGGGGCUGACGCCUGCCCAGUGCCGGAAGGUUAAGGAAGUCGGUCAGCGCACUUCGGUGUGUAAAGCUGGCGACUGAAGCCCCGUUGCACGGCGGCCGUAACUAUAACGGUCCUAAGGUAGCGAAAUUCCUUGUCGGGUAAGUUCCGACCCGCACGAAAGGCGUAACGAUCUGGAUGGUGUCUCAGAUAGAGACUCGGCGAAAUAGGAAUGUCUGUGAAGAUACGGACUACCUGCACCUGGACAGAAAGACCCUAUGAAGCUUUACUGUAGCCUGGAAUUGGCUCCGGGCUUCGCUUGCGCAGGAUAGGUGGGAGGCAUUGAAAGCACCCUUGUGGGGGUGCUGGAGCCAACGGUGAGAUACCACUCUGGCGAAGCUAGGAUUCUAACCAGUAGCCGUUAGCCGGCACUGGAACAGUUUCAGGUGGGCAGUUUGACUGGGGCGGUCGCCUCCUAAAAGGUAACGGAGGCGCGCAAAGGUUCCCUCAGCACGGUUGGAAAUCGUGCCUUAUGAGUGUAAAGGCAUAAGGGAGCUUGACUGCAAGAGCAACAACUCAAGCAGGGACGAAAGUCGGCCUUAGUGAUCCGACGGCACUGAGUGGAAGGGCCGUCGCUCAACGGAUAAAAGUUACUCUAGGGAUAACAGGCUGAUCUCCUCCAAGAGUUCACAUCGACGAGGAGGUUUGGCACCUCGAUGUCCGCUCAUCGCAACCUGGGG